UCCACGCCCUAAACGAUGAACACUAGUCGUCGGGAUGCUAGUCAUCUCGGUGAUGCACUUAACAGAUUAAGUGUUCCGCCUGGGGAGUACGGUCGCAAGAUUAAAACUUAAAGGAAUAGACGGGGACCCGCACAAGUGGGGGAGCAAACCUUAAAACAUAAUCUCAGUUCGGAUUGUAGUCUGCAACUCGACUACAUGAAGUUGGAAUCACUAGUAAUCGUGGAUCAGCCAUG
This 233-nucleotide ribosomal RNA is filed under the name uncultured bacterium. RNAcentral's name for it is "partial 16S ribosomal RNA". It matches the Rfam family "Bacterial small subunit ribosomal RNA", at positions 794 to 1356 of the family's 1533-position model. The record is from RNAcentral.